CAGCAGCCGCGGUAAUACGGAGGGUGCAAGCGUUAAUCGGAAUUACUGGGCGUAAAGCGCACGCAGGCGGUUUGUUAAGUCAGAUGUGAAAUCCCCGAGCUUAACUUGGGAACUGCAUUUGAAACUGGCAGGCUAGAGUCUUGUAGAGGGGGGUAGAAUUCCAGGUGUAGCGGUGAAAUGCGUAGAGAUCUGGAGGAAUACCGGUGGCGAAGGCGGCCCCCUGGACAAAGACUGACGCUCAGGUGCGAAAGCGUGGGGAGCAAACAGGAUUAGAUACCCCUGUAGUCCCUGUCUCUUAUAC
RNAcentral lists this ribosomal RNA (301 nucleotides) under uncultured bacterium. RNAcentral describes it as "partial 16S ribosomal RNA". It matches the Rfam family "Bacterial small subunit ribosomal RNA", at positions 509 to 807 of the family's 1533-position model. The record is from RNAcentral.